Molecule: ribosomal RNA, 425 nt
Filed under: uncultured bacterium
Lineage: Bacteria
Description: bacterial SSU rRNA
Rfam family: Bacterial small subunit ribosomal RNA
Source: RNAcentral
GGGGAAUAUUGCACAAUGGGCGCAAGCCUGAUGCAGCCAUGCCGCGUGUAUGAAGAAGGCCUUCGGGUUGUAAAGUACUUUCAGCGAGGAGGAAGGUGUUGAGGUUAAUAACCUUAGCAAUUGACGUUACUCGCAGAAGAAGCACCGGCUAACUCCGUGCCAGCAGCCGCGGUAAUACGGAGGGUGCAAGCGUUAAUCGGAAUUACUGGGCGUAAAGCGCACGCAGGCGGUUUGUUAAGUCAGAUGUGAAAUCCCCGGGCUCAACCUGGGAACUGCAUUUGAAACUGGCAAGCUUGAGUCUCGUAGAGGGGGGUAGAAUUCCAGGUGUAGCGGUGAAAUGCGUAGAGAUCUGGAGGAAUACCGGUGGCGAAGGCGGCCCCCUGGACGAAGACUGACGCUCAGGUGCGAAAGCGUGGGGAGCAAAC